UUGGUUUAACAGAAACAAAAUGGACCUCUGGGAUAAGGCGGGAGAAUAGGUGAGGCUCAGACAUUUUAACCCCUUCAAUAGUGGCACGUUAUUGUUGCGCUUAGGGACCAAAGUGACUGAGGACUGAUGAAGGUUAAGCGGUUGUACUUGUACCAUGUGUUAAAUUAUUUUCUGAAACAACUUUAUACAGUAAAAAAAAAAAACCAUCCGUCACGUUUGAUAGCAUAAACCUUCUGGAGACAACUCGCGAAUUUAAAGGAUUUUACUCAGGCAAAGUAGGGAUCUUUUUGACAUUCUGGCAAAAGUAUAGAAAUACUCUAUUGCCGUUGUCACUUCCGAAGUAAUUUUUCAUCAAGGGAUCAGUUGGGAAUUAUUUUAGGCGUACGUCUCAUUAAACGGCCACUAAUGUAGUUUUUCAGCUGGGUGGCAUCCUCAAAAUGGUCGGAGUAAGCUGAAGAAGCGAUGGUUGUGAAUCCCCAAUUAAUUGUCAGCGAAAGUAACUCCGUAACAGUGCUGUCAUUAGAAACGCCACUUUGGAAUCCACUGUGACUGAAGGGAGACUGGACACGUCUUAGUGAAUCCCAAGAGGCUGGUGUUGCCAUCAAAAAGGCUGCCUCCCCAGCCAGCUGUGAAAAAGCUGCAAGUUUUGUAAAGAAUAACAAGGGUGAUGAUAAGAGAUUCGUGUACCUAGCCCCGCGUGUCUCUCUGUGCUUGGAUAAAGCUAUAGGGGGACGUCGGAGUCUGAAACAGCCGCUGGAAUACUUCCAAAGUUGAGGCGUGUUUUAAUUAAUUACUGCCAGCCUUUUUGGAAUAUGUGUUUUGAGAAACUUGUGGAUGAAUGCCAGGCUCACUUGGACAUGUAGUAGUACUGGAUGUAAAAUCUAAAUAAAAUGACGCUGUCACUCAGUUGAACAGUCACAGACAAGGGUUGGUUUUUACAACAAUUCCACUGGUCACUAACUACUAAUAUCGUGGAUUUAACAAAGGUGCUGGAAGAUGAAGUUGUAGCAUUCGACUAAGUGUUGCAGUACUCCUAGUAUUCCAUGUGGGUGUAGUUCUUAGUGGCACUUCACAUCUACUCUACUAUAGAUCCUACUUAUCCGCAUGGUUUUACAGAUUUGAUCCUCAGUGGAUGAAGGAGUACAAUGCAAGAUGCCUGGGUUCAGUUCCUAAGAUGAGAUCCAUAGGAAAGAGCAUUAUUCAACCACAGCAACAGAAAAGGAAGUCAAAUUAAAGUGCAUAAAUAUGAAGAACUGUGGAUCUUUAACAAAUGGCAAAAGAGGCAUAUUAAUGCAGUGCUGCUCGGAUUUACCAGAAUGCAAGAUUGCUGAUGACUGAAUAAACAGCACAGCUCAUCAGAUUAAAUCACUCUCUGAAAGACCUGAGCGUCACAGAUUUGUUUUUGUUUCAGGAUACAGUUUGGCCUGUCUGUCUAAUGACUGUAGUAACUGAUUAUUUCCCAGUGCUUGAGUGAUGUUCAUAUGCCCUAAGACUUCUCUAAGGUGCCACCAUGUAUUAAUGAGUGCAUCGCAUGCAGAGCCGUGGAAAGCCAAUGCCAAGUAUUACUGCAGAUGAGGACUGGAGUACUACAUUUUGAUGUUGCUUUCUUGUAUAGAUAACCCUUGAUUCCUUUGGUUAAAACCUGAUUCCAGUCAUUUGAAAACAUCACAUUACUUUUUUUCGUUGAAAGGAUUCUUCUAAUCCAGAUGUAGCAUAUCAUGGUAUAUCUUGUUCUACUUUUAUCCUUUGGAGACACAUUCCUCUCACAUUCUCAUAUACAUUGGAAGUAAA
Long non-coding RNA from Protopterus annectens (West African lungfish), 1791 nucleotides. RefSeq lists it as uncharacterized. The transcript is spliced from 5 exons. Lineage: Eukaryota; Metazoa; Chordata; Ceratodontiformes; Protopteridae. The record is from RefSeq and is a predicted model, not a curated record.